This is a long non-coding RNA of Rhineura floridana, 598 nucleotides long. RefSeq lists it as uncharacterized. Lineage: Eukaryota; Metazoa; Chordata; Lepidosauria; Squamata; Rhineuridae. The record is from RefSeq and is a predicted model, not a curated record. The transcript is spliced from 3 exons.
CCAGGAGGAUAGGAAGAAGUCCAAGAAGGAGUGGGUGAGCUGGAAACAGAAUGGUGGUCUUGAUAGAGCUUGGUUGGCUCCAGCAAUGUUGUGAGAUAAGAAGCAAUUAGGAGGGACAGAGCCUGAGGCCUCAUUCCGUGACGACAUAUGGAAACCAACUCCAUGGAGGCCCACCAAUUUCCAACUGAUGCCAAAUCUGGAUUACUUUUGAUGCUUGAAGGAGUUUUGGCCUUGAUCAAGGUCACCCAAGCAGGUGCAUUUUUCCACACACGGUACUUGGCUGCAGAACUGCGUUGCAAAAUCUGGAGAAGUGCCCAUUUAAAAGGGGUUGGUUUUGGUUCCUGCAUUGUUUCAGGACGUGCGAAUCAGGUAGAGCUGCCAUCCUGAUAUGGUGGACUGGCUCACUGGUAAUAUCAGAUCAUUGGCACAUAAACAGACACAAAAGCUGAAAAGACAGGACAUCACUGAGUACUAAAACGCUAAGAAAUAGCACUGUAGGCAACUGAUGCUCUGCUUGUGAACUUCCCUUGAGCAACUGGCCAGCCACAGUCCAUCAGCUGUUGAGCCAGGCAGACUAUUGCUUCGGACCCUGUCAGUC